CCCUUAGAUGUUCUGGGCAGCACGCGCGCUACAAUGGUCUUCGCAAACGGAUGCAUUCUCGAAGGAGAAUGCCAAUCUUGGAAUCUAUGCCUUGGUCGGGACAGUUGCUUGCAAUUUUUCGACUCGAACCAGGAAUUCCUUGUAAUCGUGAUUCAUCACAUCACGAUGAAUACGUCCCUGCCCUUUGUACACACCGCCCGUCGCUCCUACCGAUUGAAUGGUCCGGUGAAGUCUUCGGACAGUGGCAGUUUACUGCUACUGAAAGUUGAGUGAACCUUACCAUUUAGAGGAAGGUGAAGUCGUAACA
This 307-nucleotide ribosomal RNA is filed under the name uncultured eukaryote. RNAcentral's name for it is "partial 18S ribosomal RNA". It matches the Rfam family "Eukaryotic small subunit ribosomal RNA", at positions 1470 to 1796 of the family's 1831-position model. The record is from RNAcentral.